RNAcentral lists this ribosomal RNA (1140 nucleotides) under Triticum aestivum (bread wheat). RNAcentral describes it as "partial small subunit ribosomal RNA". Lineage: Eukaryota; Viridiplantae; Streptophyta; Magnoliopsida; Poales; Poaceae. The record is from RNAcentral.
AUGAGACAUUUUGGUCUUAUGGCAAAUCUUCGGGGAUAUAUGUCAGGAGGAAAGGAAUGGAUUCUUGAUAGUGGAUGUACCGAUCACAUGACCAGAGAUAAAGACAUGUUUCAUGAGCUUGCUGAUAAUGAUAGUCCUCGAAAGUAUGUCACUUUCGGUGACAACUCAAAGGGUAAGGUGGUUGGCCUCGGUAAGGUGGCCAUAUCACAUGAUAGCUCCAUACAAAAUGUCAUGCUCGUUGAAUCUCUUGGGUACAACUUACUUUCAGUAUCUGGACUUGUUGAUUUCGGUUUCAAUGUCCUAUUUACUGAAGUAGAUUGCCAAGUGUUUCAUCGAGACAAUCAUAAAAUGGUCUUUACCGAUGUGCGUAGAGGUGAUCUAUACAUUGUUGAUUUCACUAAAAAGGCUCAACCUAAAACUUGCUUCAUUGCUAAAUCCUCAAAAGGUUGGUUAUGGCAUAGACGAUUAGGUCACGUUGGUAUGCGGAACCUUGACAAGCUUAUUAAGGAAAAUCAUAUCCUUGGAGUUAAUGAUGUCAUAUUUGAUAAGGAUAGACUUUGCAGUGCUUGUCAAGCAGGUAAACAGGUUGGAGGAAGGCAUCCCGUGAAGAACAUCAUGACCACAAAGAGGCCACUCGAGCUACUUCACAUGGAUCUCUUUGGUCCCAACUCUUACAAGAGUCUCGGUGGAAAUUCUUUUGGUCUAGUUAUAGCUGAUGAUUUUUCAAGAUUUACGUGGGUGUUCUUUCUCGAUGAUAAAUCACAGGUCCAAAAGAUCUUCAAAAACUUCGCUAGGAAGGCCCAAAAUCAAUUUGAAGUGAAGAUCAAGAAGGUUCGCAGCAACAACGGAACGGAGUUCAAGAACGCAAAUGUGGACACCUUUCUUGACGAAGAAGGGAUUUCACACGAGUUCUCGGCUACGUACACACCUCGACAAAAUGGAGUUGUUGAGAGGAAAAACCGGACGCUCAUUGAAAUGGCGAGAACGAUGCUUGAUGAGUACAAGACGCCGAAGCACUUUUGGGUAGAAGCGGUUGAGACAGCUUGUCAUGCAACAAAUCGCUUGUAUCUUCACAAGCUACUCGGCAAGACGGCAUACGAGCUCCUCACCGGUAACAAACCCCAAGUUGGAUACUUUUGA